This 63-nucleotide microRNA precursor is filed under the name Monodelphis domestica (gray short-tailed opossum). RNAcentral's name for it is "microRNA mdo-mir-12368 precursor". Lineage: Eukaryota; Metazoa; Chordata; Mammalia; Didelphimorphia; Didelphidae. The record is from miRBase by way of RNAcentral.
AAGGGGAGAGUUUUUCUGCGGGGAAGAUGAAGACAUUUUCUCUCAGGAAAGAGUCCCCCUACA